GUGAACGCUGGCGGUAGGCCUAACACAUGCAAGUCGAACGGCAGCACAGUAAGAGCUUGCUCUUACGGGUGGCGAGUGGCGGACGGGUGAGGAAUACAUCGGAAUCUACUUUUUCGUGGGGGAUAACGUAGGGAAACUUACGCUAAUACCGCAUACGACCUACGGGUGAAAGCAGGGGAUCUUCGGACCUUGCGCGAUUGAAUGAGCCGAUGUCGGAUUAGCUAGUUGGCGGGGUAAAGGCCCACCAAGGCGACGAUCCGUAGCUGGUCUGAGAGGAUGAUGAGCCACACGGGAAGUGAGACACGGUCCAGCCGCAAACGGGAGGCAGCAGUGGGGAAUAUUGGACAAUGGGCGCAAGCCUGAUCAAGCCAUACCGCGUGGGUGAAGAAGGCCUUCGGGUUCUAAAGCUCUUUUGUUGGGAAAGAAAAGAAGCAGGUUAAUACCCCGCUGUUCUGACGCUACCCAAAGAAUAAGCACCGGCUAACUUCGUG
RNAcentral lists this ribosomal RNA (491 nucleotides) under uncultured bacterium. RNAcentral's name for it is "partial 16S ribosomal RNA". It matches the Rfam family "Bacterial small subunit ribosomal RNA", at positions 29 to 507 of the family's 1533-position model. The record is from RNAcentral.